UGAUCUCUGCGUCUUACUCUUCCGCCAUCUUGAAGCUCCUCCAAGAGCACUUUUAACGUGGAAAACUACUGAGAAUUCCACAUCUCCUUUUUCUAUAAUAUGAAUAUACAGAUUCCCAAAGACACCUAGAAAAUGCAUCAGAAGAAAAACAGGACAAGGAGAAGAAAGGAGAUAGAAGAAAGAGGAGAGCAAAUUCUGAAGGCUUCCAAUUGCUAAGGAUCAAUCCAUGUGCCUCCUAAAACCCUCCAUGGUGACUGCUUAGGAGAAUCAACUGAGGAUCCCCAAGCAGGAAUUAUUAACAAGUAACUCAGCCUGAAUACCAGAAUAUGUUGGAUCAAUUUAAGAGGCAAUAUAGGGCUUCCCUGAUGGCGCAGUG
This is a long non-coding RNA of Balaenoptera musculus (blue whale), 376 nucleotides long. RefSeq lists it as uncharacterized. The transcript has 4 exons. NCBI's taxonomy places the organism in Eukaryota, Metazoa, Chordata, Mammalia, Artiodactyla, Balaenopteridae. The record is from RefSeq and is a predicted model, not a curated record.